CAUUUCCAAUUGAAUGAUAUUGAGUUUACAAAAUGACGCAUCUAACCUAGAGCAUCCUAAGAUUUUCAAUUUUGGAACUUCUUUUCUCCAUGCUACUGUGUGACUACAUGUGUUAUCAUCAUUCAUUUUGAGAAAUUCAAACAAAUGAUGGAAUUGUCGCCCUUUACAAAGAGGAACUCAAAUGAUAUGUAUUACUAUAUACAUUGCAACAGCAUACAACAACGGCCGUCUCUCUACAGCUCACCUUCUUCAGCAUCAAGUAUGUUUGACAAGCAAUAAGCAAAACUCACCCACAUGAUGUGCUGAUCAUUGCCACUCCUUUUAACAAUUGAUUAAUCCCAAGCAUGAGGAAAAGAGCAUUGUCAUAUAGGCAUCAAGUAUGUUUGACAAGCAAUCAGCAAAACUCAUCCACAUGAUGUGCUGAUCAUUGCCACUCCUUUUAACAAUUGAUUAAUCCCAAGCAUGAGGAGAGGAGUGUCAUCGUAUAACCCCAACUACAACAGGCACGAAAAAAGUUAUUAAGUUAUGUGCCUCUGCUUUCCUUAU
This 546-nucleotide long non-coding RNA is filed under the name Nicotiana benthamiana. RNAcentral describes it as "long non-coding RNA (NBEN_LNC011687)". The record is from RNAcentral. Lineage: Eukaryota; Viridiplantae; Streptophyta; Magnoliopsida; Solanales; Solanaceae.